Molecule: long non-coding RNA, 143 nt
Organism: Hippocampus zosterae (dwarf seahorse)
Lineage: Eukaryota; Metazoa; Chordata; Actinopteri; Syngnathiformes; Syngnathidae
Exons: 2
Source: RefSeq, a predicted model, not a curated record
AACGGAGUGAUAUAUUGCGUUUAUUAAAUUAUGACGGAAGUGACGCAACAGCGCACGGUAUGGCACCAGCUUCCCGCCGUAGUUCAGGCAGAGCUACCAGGGAAGUCACAGGUUAUUUUCUAGACUGAAAAGCCCCGUGACUU